CAACCUGCCUUACACAGGGGGAGUAGCCAUUGGAAACGGUGAUUAAUACCCCAUAAGACCACAAUACCGCAUGGUAAAAGGGUAAAAGGGAUACCGGUGUAAGAUGGGCUCGCGUCUGAUUAGCUAGUUGGUGGGGUAAAGGCCCUACCAAGGCGACGAUCAGUAGCCGGUCUGAGAGGAUGAACGGCCACAUUGGAACUGAGACACGGUCCAAACUCCUACGGGAGGCAGCAGUGGGGAAUAUUGCACAAUGGGGGAAACCCUGAUGCAGCGACGCCGCGUGAGCGAAGAAGGCUUUCGAGUCGUAAAGCUCUGUCCUAUGAGAAGAUAAUGACGGUAUCAUAGGAGGAAGCCCUGGCUAAAUACGUGCCAGCAGCCGCGGUAAU
RNAcentral lists this ribosomal RNA (386 nucleotides) under uncultured bacterium. RNAcentral describes it as "bacterial SSU rRNA". It matches the Rfam family "Bacterial small subunit ribosomal RNA", at positions 122 to 524 of the family's 1533-position model. The record is from RNAcentral.